RNAcentral lists this ribosomal RNA (501 nucleotides) under uncultured bacterium. RNAcentral describes it as "partial 16S ribosomal RNA". It matches the Rfam family "Bacterial small subunit ribosomal RNA", at positions 30 to 523 of the family's 1533-position model. The record is from RNAcentral.
AUUGAACGCUGGCGGCAGGCUUAACACAUGCAAGUCGAGCGGGGGAAGGUAGCUUGCUACCGGACCUAGCGGCGGACGGGUGAGUAAUGCCUAGGAAUCUGCCUAUUAGUGGGGGACAACAUCUCGAAAGGGAUGCUAAUACCGCAUACGUCCUACGGGAGAAAGCAGGGGAUCUUCGGACCUUGCGCUAAUAGAUGAGCCUAAGUCGGAUUAGUGAGUUGGUGGGGUAAAGGCCUACCAAGGCGACGAGCUGUAGCGGGUCUGAGAGGAUGAUCCGCCACACUGGGACUGAGACACGGCCCAGACUCGUACGGGAGGAAGCAGUGGUGAAUAUUGGACAAUGGGGGGAACCCUGAUCCAGCCAUGCCGCGUGUGUGAAGAAGGCCUUAUGGUUGUAAAGCCCUUUAAGCGAGGAGGAGGCUACUCUAGUUAAUACCUAGGGAUAGUGGACGUUACUCGCAGAAUAAGCACCGGCUAACUCUGUGCCAGCCGCCGCCGUAA